This 68-nucleotide transfer RNA is filed under the name Potamyia horvati. Its description in RNAcentral is "tRNA-Gln". Lineage: Eukaryota; Metazoa; Arthropoda; Insecta; Trichoptera; Hydropsychidae. The record is from RNAcentral.
UAUAUUUCAGUGGAUGAACACUAAAGAUUUUGAUUCUUUAAAAUUUAAUUAAAUAUUAAAAAAUAUAA